AACAGACGAGGAGCUUGCUCCUCUGACGUUAGCGGCGGACGGGUGAGUAACACGUGGAUAACCUACCUAUAAGACUGGGAUAACUUCGGGAAACCGGAGCUAAUACCGGAUAAUAUAUUGAACCGCAUGGUUCAAUAGUGAAAGACGGUUUUGCUGUCACUUAUAGAUGGAUCCGCGCCGCAUUAGCUAGUUGGUAAGGUAACGGCUUACCAAGGCAACGAUGCGUAGCCGACCUGAGAGGGUGAUCGGCCACACUGGAACUGAGACACGGUCCAGACUCCUACGGGAGGCAGCAGUAGGGAAUCUUCCGCAAUGGGCGAAAGCCUGACGGAGCAACGCCGCGUGAGUGAUGAAGGUCUUCGGAUCGUAAAACUCUGUUAUUAGGGAAGAACAAAUGUGUAAGUAACUAUGCACGUCUUGACGGUACCUAAUCAGAAAGCCACGGCUAACUACGUGCCAGCAGCCGCGGUAAUACGUAGGUGGCAAGCGUUAUCCGGAAUUAUUGGGCGUAAAGCGCGCGUAGGCGGUUUUUUAAGUCUGAUGUGAAAGCCCACGGCUCAACCGUGGAGGGUCAUUGGAAACUGGAAAACUUGAGUGCAGAAGAGGAAAGUGGAAUUCCAUGUGUAGCGGUGAAAUGCGCAGAGAUAUGGAGGAACACCAGUGGCGAAGGCGACUUUCUGGUCUG
RNAcentral lists this ribosomal RNA (685 nucleotides) under uncultured Staphylococcus sp. RNAcentral describes it as "bacterial SSU rRNA". It matches the Rfam family "Bacterial small subunit ribosomal RNA", at positions 68 to 736 of the family's 1533-position model. Lineage: Bacteria; Bacillati; Bacillota; Bacilli; Caryophanales; Staphylococcaceae. The record is from RNAcentral.